Non-coding RNA from Ictidomys tridecemlineatus (thirteen-lined ground squirrel), 4946 nucleotides. The record is from RefSeq and is a predicted model, not a curated record. NCBI's taxonomy places the organism in Eukaryota, Metazoa, Chordata, Mammalia, Rodentia, Sciuridae.
GGAGGGGCAGGCGGAGAAGUGGGAGUGGCUAGAGCCUUGGAAAUGGCAGAUGAGGGGCCCCAGAGUACAGCUCAGUACAAGCCCCUGGUGAAGAUUCAUUAAGAGUCUUGAAACCUGAAGAUUGCAGAGUACCCCGAGGAGAGAGACUCUUUUGAUUCCUGCUUACCUCCAGACGGAGCUGCCCCCCCCCACCCUUCCUGCUCAGGCCUGUGGUCAUUCUCCAGAGGGCAGCCGCCCAUCCCAGAUAGCCUUGUUUACCAUGACUACUUCUUAGGAAGAUAGAAGGCCCAUGUUUGGAUACUCUGACACUCUUCCUACUGCCAAGAAGGACUCAGAUACUGGACAAGGGGAAGAAGCCAUGCCUACUUUGGGGGCUGGUUCCUCAACCCCUGACCGCUUUGCGGUGUCUGCGGAGGCAGAAGACAAAGUUCGGGAGCAGCAGGCCCGUUUGGAGCGCAUCUUCAGCGUGGGGCUGAGUGUCCUCCCUAAGGACUGCCCUGAGAAUCCUCACAUCUGGCUGCAACUUGAGGGCCCCAAGGAGAACGUCAGUAGAGCGAAGGAGUACCUGAAGGGUCUCUGCAGCCCUGAACUUCAAAAUGAAAUCCACUAUCCCUCCAGACUGCACUGCAUCUUCCUGGGAGCCCAGGGUUUCUUCCUUGACUGUCUGGCUUGGAGCACAUCAGCCCAUCUGGUACCUCAGGCACCUGGUUCACUGAUGAUCAGUGGCCUAACUGAGGCCUUUGUCAUGGCUCAGAGCCGUGUGGAGGAGCUAGUGGGGCGGCUGAGUUGGGACUUUCAGCCAGGACCAUGCCCCAGAGCCUCUCAGAGUGCUGGAGUGCUGAGUGACUUCUCUGCCUUGCUGCAGCCCUGGGAGGAUGUCCACUCAGAGGCCCUGCUGCAGCUGCCCCUGGCUGUUCAGGAGGAGCUUCUGAGUCUAGUGCAGGAGGCAUCCAGUGGGCAGGGGCCACAAGUGUUAACCUCACAGCAGGGGAGAAGCCCAGACCUGCCAAGUACUCAGCAUUGGGGAGUCAGGGCUCUCCAGAGUGGAGGUGGGGAGUCGUUGCGCCCUGGAUCUGUGGGGUGCAGAGAAUCAAAAGGAGCAGAGGGAGGGAGUCAUACUAUUGAGAAGGAUCAAGGGAAACAAGGUGGUUCCAAGGAGAUGGAUUUGUGGUGGAAGGAGCUGCCUAAGGAAGAGGCCUGGGACAGAGAAGUGGCUUUCAGGCCAUAUUCAGCAGGUGGAGGGACAGGGGAAGAUGGGCCCCUGAAAAGAAAGGCCCUGGGAAAAGAGGGGGUACCUCAGGAAAGAGGUGGGUUUAGUGUCCAGGGUGAGUUUUCUGGUGCCCUUGGUCCCUGUCAGAGGACAGCUCAAACCCGGGGAGCUUCCCUUCUUCAGCGGUUGCACAAUGGAAAUGCCUCACCUCCAAGAGUACCUAGCCCUCCACCUGCGCCCGAACCUCCAUGGCCCUGUGGAGACCGGGGAGACCGGGGAGAUAAGCAGCAGGCCGUGGCUCGAGGUCGAGGGUUUCCUGGGAGACGAGGUACUCGUGGGGGCAACUUAGUGACUGGCACACAGCGUUUCCAGGAGGCCCUGAAGGAUCCUUUCACCUUGUGCCUUGCCAAUGUGCCUGGCCAGCCAGACCUCCGCCAUAUUGUCAUUGAUGGCAGCAAUGUGGCCAUGGUCCAUGGGCUCCAGCACUACUUCUCCAGCCGGGGCAUUGCCAUUGCUGUGCAGUACUUCUGGGACCGUGGCCAUCGUGACAUAACUGUCUUUGUGCCUCAAUGGCGCUUCAGUAAGGAUGCCAAGGUUCGAGAGAGUCACUUCCUGCAAAAGCUGUACUCCCUCAGCUUGCUCUCCCUAACUCCCUCACGAGUCAUGGAUGGAAAAAGGAUCUCCUCCUAUGACGACAGGUACUGCUACCCUCCUUGCCCGAGCUUUGAUUAUUUAAGGAGUCCAGUAGGAGGUUGAGGGAGAGAAUCUCCUGACCAUUUGCUUUGUCUCCAAGCCUCAGGAGUGGGGCAGAGAGUUAUUCCUCCAUGUGCUCUUAUGACUGGUUAGGUAAACCUCCCCUGUAGCUGAGGUGGGAUUGACUUAGACAACCAUGUUUGCCCCUUCAUCAUUCCUUCUUCAUUCAUCAACCUGAAUGACAUCUUGUGUUUGUGUAGUGUCUUCCUGUCUAGGAAAUACUGGUUUAUUGGAAAGAUGGGAAAGCUUCUGACACAAAUAGCUGACAGAUGUGUUUUUAUAAGCUAAAUUUCCAAAUGUGUAGAGAAACUCCCCCAACAUUCUGGAGAAACCAGAGUAAACAAUUAAAAGUAAGUAUGAGGAAGAAACACAGCCUGUGAACAAUAGGACUGUACAAAACAGGGUAUGAUAGAAAGAUCAUAGGAUGUAGAAUUUAAAGAUCUGAAUUUGAGCUUCAAGUUCACUUCUCAUUGAUUUCAUCUAUAGGCCCAUACCUUAGUGAAUUAACCUCUUUGGCUCAGGUUCCUCCUCCAUGCAUUUGUCUUCCUUAUGAAUAUCAAAAGAAGAGAAGUAGUGUUCUUGCCUCACUCAAUGAGGUAGGCAAGAGUCCAUCACAUUUCCUUGUAUGGACCAAAUUAUGUGUUGCAUAAAAUAUUAUCUCUGUUUUAAAGCUGUGGACACAAAGGGUAAGAAUGGUGAACUACCCUAACAAAGGAAAAAUAGACCUCAGAACUGCCAGAUAGUUUAAAUCCAGGGCAUAUUCCAGCUGCAGUAUACAUACAUGGUGUGGGGAAAAGGGCAGAUUUGAAAGCUAAUUAACCAAUUUAAAAAUUUUACAACUAUAGGCUCUUUGUCCUUUAGGAUAUUAUUUAGUUUUAAAUAGUUAAUUUCAAACUGCAGUGAUUAUACAUUUUGUCUUUUCAAAACUUAACCAAGUGUGGUGACACUUGUGGCUCAGGAGGCUGAGAUAAGAGGAUUGUGAGUUCAAAGCCAGCCUCAGCAAAAGCAAGGUGCUAAGCAACUCAGUGAGACCCUGUUUCUAAAUAAAAUACAAAAUAGGUCUGGGGGAUGUGGCUCAGUGGUCAGGUGCCCCUAAAUUCUAUCACUGGUACCCCCCUAAAAACAAACAAACAAAAAAAAACUUCUUAUGAAUAAAUACUGUUUUACAAAAGGCAGUCCACUUCCUUCCAGUGGAAUUUUGUUUUAUGCUGAGAUUUCACAGUGAAUCUAAAAUGGGACCUUCUUUCCACACCAGCACUGAAAGAGAAUUGAGACUGAAUUGAGUCAGUUUUAAUGACUUUUAAAGGCAUGUGUUUGUGCAGUUGUGUAGGACCUGAUGGACAGAUAACAAUGUAAAUUGGGAGUUUUUCCUGGUAACAGUGAAUAAGCCCUGUGCUACACAGCAUAGGCUGACAAAUGAACAACAUGCCAUGUAAUGCAAUAAUAGUAAAAUAUGCUUAACUGGAAAAUACCUUUUGUAUACCAUCUGUAUACCUUAUACAUAAAUUUGCUUCCUAGCCAGAAACUCGGAACCAGACAUUGCUCCUGCCUAACCCUGUCAAAUACUAAUUGCCUGCUUAUGUUAGGUACAUGGUCUGCAGAAGGAACAAGAUCUGACUCUUGACUUCAAAGAGCCAAAAGAAACUUAUAAAUCAGAUACUACAGCAACUCAGAGGAAGGGAGCCCUCUCUGACUGGUGUUUUGCAGGAGUGGAGAGUUUGUGAAUUGUUUAUUGAGAAGGAUGUGGAUGGGCUGGAUCUCUUGGUUUCUAAAACUGUUAACAAGACUGCUUUCCACCACAUGAAUCUAUGUGAUGGGAUCAGAAUUGCUAAAGUGAGACACCAGGCAUCAAUAUUUUUUUGGUACUAGGGAUUUUACCCAGGGGUGCUUUACCACUGAAUAAUAUCCCCAGUCCUUUGUAUUUUUUAUUUAGUGAGACAGGGUCUUUGCUAAGUUGCUUAGGGCCUUGCUAAGUUGCUGAGGCUGGCCUCAAACUUGCAAUCCUCCUGCCUCAGCCUCCUGAGUCGCUGGAAUUACAGGUGUGCGCCACCAUGCCUGGCUUACCUUUUUAAAGUUCCCCCGGUGACUGUGUUUAUCAGCAAGGUUUGGGGAACACUUUCCAGUUGGAGGGAAUGGUUUGAGAAACAUGAAGUCAGAGACAGUGCAGGUCAUGUUUAGAGAGCAGGGUGUAAUCUGAUAAUUGAUUUUGACUGGAGUUGAGGGCACAUCAGGGAAUAAUGGGAGAGAGAAGUCUGUGAGGGUGCUGUAGAACUGGAUUCUAGAGGGCUUUAGCUGCCAGGCCUGAGCAUGUGGACUUAGUAGAUGAAGGCAGGUGUGGAAGAGCUCUGUACAGGGAAAGAGCAUGUUUUCUUGCGGGUGGGCAGGCGAACCAGGAAGGUGGUGAAGGAUGAGAGGUAGGUGAAUGGUGAAGAGGCUAUGUGGUAUCUCACCUGUAACAUCUGAAUUACUAAGGUGGUAAGGAAGGAAGGGGGCUUCCAGAGUGGAGGGCUUUUCUGAGGAUGAACAUAGUGGAUUUUUAAGUGAUUGGUUGGGUAGGAUGGAAGACAGAGUCAGUACCAGAUCUGUCUCUUACAAAUGAGGCACAAAAUGUUGGGUGAAGGGUUGUGACUAGUGGAUGGGAUGCUGUUGGGGGACCACCUAGGAUUCAUCUUUAUUUCUGCUCUAACCUAUGACACCCGUAUCCAGUAAGUCACCUGUAGCGGUCAGUGUGAGGUAGGGACGUCAUUUCUCUAUCCCCAGAAGUAAGUCACAGGGAUUGGUAAUACUCUGGGCCUUGAAGACUCCUGGAAUAUUGCCAUGGUUUUUGAGACAGGUUCAUGGUGAAGCUGGCAGAAGAGACCAACGGGAUCAUUGUCUCCAAUGACCAGUUCCGGGACUUGGCAGAGGAGUCUGACAAGUGGAUGGCAAUCAUCAGAGAGCGCUUGCUGCCUUUCACCUUUGUGGGAAACCACUUCAUGGUUCC